UCCGCCCCUAGAGGCGUGGCUGCUGUGUCACAUGUGUGUCAGUAGGUGACAGAGGGGAGAGAGGCCAUGUCUGUCCUCAGAGUUCUGACCUAUGGACAGCUGAACGAUUAGUAGGCUAACAUU
This 123-nucleotide small nucleolar RNA is filed under the name Meriones unguiculatus (Mongolian gerbil). RNAcentral's name for it is "Small nucleolar RNA SNORA17 (ENSMUGG00000018059.1)". It matches the Rfam family "Small nucleolar RNA SNORA17". From Rfam's summary of the family: snoRNA ACA 17 belongs to the H/ACA family of snoRNAs and is predicted to guide pseudouridylation of the 28S rRNA at positions U4659 and U4598. It shares the same host gene together with ACA43. The record is from RNAcentral. Lineage: Eukaryota; Metazoa; Chordata; Mammalia; Rodentia; Muridae.